UGUGGGAUGGUGUAGUGGUAAACAUUCGAGUCUCAUAAUCUCGAGAGCGCAGGUUCGAGUCCUGCUCCCGCAA
RNAcentral lists this transfer RNA (73 nucleotides) under Candidatus Cacconaster merdequi. Its description in RNAcentral is "tRNA-Ile". It matches the Rfam family "tRNA". Rfam says of the family: Transfer RNA (tRNA) molecules are approximately 80 nucleotides in length. Their secondary structure includes four short double-helical elements and three loops (D, anti-codon, and T loops). The record is from RNAcentral. Lineage: Bacteria; Pseudomonadati; Bacteroidota; Bacteroidia; Bacteroidales.